RNAcentral lists this ribosomal RNA (403 nucleotides) under uncultured bacterium. RNAcentral describes it as "partial 16S ribosomal RNA". It matches the Rfam family "Bacterial small subunit ribosomal RNA", at positions 30 to 526 of the family's 1533-position model. The record is from RNAcentral.
AUUGAACGCUGGCGGCAGGCCUAACACAUGCAAGUCGAGCGAGCGGCGGACGGGUGAGUAAUGUAUGGGGACUGCCCGAUAGCGGGGGAUCACUACUGGAAACGGUAGCUAAUACCGCAUACUAUCGGAUAACCCAUAUGGGAUUAGCUAGUAGGUGAGGUAAUGGCUCACCUAGGCUACGAUCCCUAGCUGGUCUGAGAGGAUGAUCAGCCACACUGGGACUGAGACACGGCCCAGACUCCUACGGAGGCAGCAGUGGGGAAUAUUGCACAAUGGGCGCAAGCCUGAUGCAGCCAGGCCGCGUGUAUGAAGAAGGCCCUAGGGUUGUAAAGUACGUUAAGUCGGGAGGCGUUACCGAAAGAAGAAGCACCGGCUAACUCCGUGCCAGCAGCGGCGGUAAUUC